UAUUCUUUACUGCCGAGUAAAGAAAUUAAGCGUCAAGUUUUAUAUCGUUAGGCCAUAGAAGAUAUGAAACUCUGGCGCUUUUUCUUG
RNAcentral lists this non-coding RNA (87 nucleotides) under unclassified sequences. The record is from RNAcentral.